GUGAGGAAUAUUGCGCAAUGGGGGAAACCCUGACGCAGCAACGCCGCGUGGGUGAUGAAGGCCUUCGGGUCGUAAAGCCCUGUCAGGUGGGAAGAACGCUAUAAGGUGAAGAGCCGAGUAGUUUGACGGUACCAUCGGAGGAAGCACCGGCCAACUCCGUGCCAGCAGCCGCGGUAAUACGGAGGGUGCAAGCGUUGUUCGGAAUCACUGGGCGUAAAGGGCGUGUAGGCGGUUAAUCAAGUCAGAUGUGAAAGCCCUGGGCUUAACUCAGGAAGUGCAUCUGAGACUGGUUAACUAGAGUACAGGAGAGGAAGGUGGAAUUCCUGGUGUAGGGGUGAAAUUCGUAGAUAUCGGGAAGAACACCGGUGGCGAAGGCGGCCUUCUGGCCUGAUACUGACGCUGAGACGCGAAAGCGUGGGGAGCAAACAGGAUUAGAAACCCUGGUAGUCC
This 450-nucleotide ribosomal RNA is filed under the name uncultured bacterium. RNAcentral's name for it is "bacterial SSU rRNA". It matches the Rfam family "Bacterial small subunit ribosomal RNA", at positions 354 to 796 of the family's 1533-position model. The record is from RNAcentral.